UACGUAGGUGGCAAGCGUUGUCCGGAAUUAUUGGGCGUAAAGCGCGCGCAGGCGGUUCCUUAAGUCUGAUGUGAAAGCCCCCGGCUCAACCGGGGAGGGUCAUUGGAAACUGGGGAACUUGAGUACUGAAGAGGAAAGCGGAAUUCCACGUGUAGCGGUGAAAUGCGUAGAGAUGUGGAGGAACACCAGUGGCGAAGGCGGCUUUCUGGACCAGUACUGACGCUCAUGCACGAAAGCGUGGGGAGCAAACAGG
Molecule: ribosomal RNA, 253 nt
Filed under: uncultured bacterium
Lineage: Bacteria
Description: partial 16S ribosomal RNA
Rfam family: Bacterial small subunit ribosomal RNA
Source: RNAcentral